Molecule: ribosomal RNA, 85 nt
Filed under: Brachystegia leonensis
Lineage: Eukaryota; Viridiplantae; Streptophyta; Magnoliopsida; Fabales; Fabaceae
Description: partial 28S ribosomal RNA
Rfam family: Eukaryotic large subunit ribosomal RNA
Source: RNAcentral
ACGUGACCUCAGCUUAGGCGAGGCUACCCACUGAGCUUAAGCAUAUCAGUAACCAGAGGAAAAGAAACUAAUAAGGAUUGCCCUA